GACCAUAUAUUUAAUAUUUUGUUAACUAAAUGAAAGGGAGUGCCUGUUUAUUAAGCUCUAACAAAAUGUUACACUUGUACAAUUUAUUACCAAUCCCAUUUUAACUCUUGCUCUGUGGUCUUACUCUUUAACUAUACCAUUUUAAAGAUUCAGUU
Molecule: long non-coding RNA, 155 nt
Organism: Xiphophorus hellerii (green swordtail)
Lineage: Eukaryota; Metazoa; Chordata; Actinopteri; Cyprinodontiformes; Poeciliidae
Exons: 3
Source: RefSeq, a predicted model, not a curated record